This 2906-nucleotide ribosomal RNA is filed under the name Candidatus Magasanikbacteria bacterium GW2011_GWA2_42_32. RNAcentral's name for it is "bacterial LSU rRNA". It matches the Rfam family "Bacterial large subunit ribosomal RNA". Lineage: Bacteria; Candidatus Magasanikiibacteriota. The record is from RNAcentral. RNAcentral also lists the same sequence under 1 other name.
AAGAGCGUAAGAGCGUAUGUGUGGAUGCCUUGACAUUAGAAGACGAUGAAAGACGUAGCAGCCUGCGAUAAGCUUCGGGGAGGUGGCAAGCAACCUUUGAUCCGGAGAUCUCUGAAUGGGGCAACCCCUCUUGGCGUUGAACCGAGAGACCGCACCGCAAGGUGCGGGGUGUACCUGGCGAAGUGAAACAUCUCAGUAGCCAGUGGAAAAGAAAUAGGUCAUAUAUUCCCUAAGUAGUGGCGAGCGAAAGGGGAGAAGUCUAAACCUCAUAUGAGUCAAACGGUUAGGCGAGUUUUGAUGCAAAUUGAAAUUACGUGAAUUGUUUGGGGCUAUAGGGCUGUACUCUAUAAGGUGUUAAUUUAUAACAGAAUCUUCUGGAAUGAAGAAUCAUAGAGGGUGAUAAUCCCGUAUGUGAAAUAAAUUGUUACUCUGCUUUGGUUGUUCACAAGUACUACCAGACUCGUGAAAUCUGGUAAGAAUCCGGGCCGACUAUUGGCCCAAGACUAAAUACUUCUAAUGAUCGAUAGUGAACAAGUACCGCGAGGGAAAGGUGAAAAGCAGCCCGGUGAGGGCGAUGAAAUAGUAUCUGAAACCAUACGCUUACAAAGAGUCGGAGCUCUAGAUACACGCAAGUGUGUCAGAGUCACGGCAUUCCUAUUGAAGAAUGAGCCAACGAGUUUAUUGUGUGCGGCUUGCUUAAGGACUUACGGUCCAUAGGCGCAGUGAAAGCGAGCGUUAAUAGCGCGUUUGUCGCACAUAUAAGACCCGAAGCCGGAUGAUCAAACCAUGACCAGGUUGAACCCUGUCGAAAGACAGGGGGAGGACCGAACCCACUAGCUGUGCAACACUAGGGGAUGAGUUGUGGUUAGGAGAGAAAUUCUAAUCGAAUUCGGUGAUAGCUGGUUCUCCUCGAAAUAGCUUUAGGGCUAGCCUUGGAAGUUCCUCUUGGUUGUAGAGCACUGAAUGAGACGUGGCGGAGCAAUCCGCCUUGUUUCAACCAAACUCCGAAGGCCAAGAAUUAACAUUCCAGGAGUCAGUCUCUGGGGGCUAAGCUCCAGUGGACAAAAAGGGAACAGCCUAGACCCUCAUCUAAGGUCCCUAAAUCUACGUUAAGUGUAAAAAGCGGUGGAACGACUUAUACAACCAGGAGGUUGGCUUAGAAGCAGCCAUCCUUUAAAGAAAGCGUAACAGCUCACUGGUCAAGUUGUUCUGCACUGAAAAUGUACCGGGGCUAAACGUAGUACCGAAGAUAGGGAAUUUUCAUUAAUUUAUUAAUGAGGAUUGGUAGAGGAGCAUUCCUGUCGCAGUGAAGUCGGACCCGUGAGGGCCGGUGGAGCGUCAGGAAGAGAGAAUGUUGGCAUAAGUAGCACAAACUCUGGUGAAAACCCAGAGCACCGUAAACCCAAGGUUUCCUGGGCAACGCAAAUCGUCCCAGGGUUAGUCGAUCCUAAGGUGAGUCUGCCUUCCGAGGCAGGGUAGCCGAUGGAAGAGGCCGUUAAUAUUCGGCCACUUUCAUAUUUUUGCUAUGCACUGACACAUGACCGCGAUGCAAGCGCGUUUUGGUUAUACGCGUACCGCAAGGUAGAGAUGAAGCCGCAAGGUGGAUUCAAUUUGGGUCAAAGUUGUGUCGAGAAAAGGUGCCAGGCGUUAAGAAUAUGAAAUCCGUACCGUAAACCGACACAGGUGGGUGGGCGUAAGUGUGCCAAGGUGUACGAGAGAACCCUCGUUAAGGAACUCUGCAAAAAAGCAUGCGUAACUUCGGAAUAAGCAUUGCUCCAAUUUGUUGGAGCCGCAGCAAACGAUCUCAAGCGACUGUUUAACAAAAACACAGGUCUCUGCUAAGCCGCAAGGCAAUGUAUAGGGGCUGAUGCCUGGCCAGUGUCAGAACGUUAAGGGGAGGGGUCAUCCCGUAGCAAUACGGGGGCAGCUCUGAACUGAAGCGCUGAUGAACGCCGGCGAUAACUAUAAUCGUCCUAAGGUAGCGAAAUACCUUGUCGUGUGAGUUACGACGCGCACGAAUGGCAUAACGACUUGAGAACUCUCUCAACGAGGGACUCGGCGAAAUUGCAAGGGAGGUGAAGAUGCCUCCUACCCGUGGUUAGACGAAAAGACCCCGUGAAGCUUUACUACAACUUGGUAUUGGAUUAAAAAUUUCUAUGUUCAGUGUAGGUGGGAGCGCCAUAGCAAUAUGGUGCGCCGAUGAGACACCACCCUUAGGUAUUUUUAAUUCUAACCACCCUUAGUUAUCCUAGGGGAGGGACAGUAUCUGGUGGGUAGUUUGACUGGGGCGGUGGCCUCCUAAAAUGUAACGGAGGCGUUUACAAAGGUAAGCUUAGCUCCAAUGGAAACGGAGCUGGACGUGUAAUGGCACAAGCUUGCUUUACUGCAAGUCCUACAAGACGCGCAGUCCCGAAAGGGGAACAUAGUGAUCCGACGAUCCAAUAUAGGAUGGUCGAAGCUCAACGAAUAAAAGCUACUCCGGGGAUAACAGGCUGAUCAGGUCCAAGAGUCCAUAUCGACGACCUGGUUUGGCACCUCGAUGUCGGCUCAUCGCAUCCUGGGGGUGAAGAAGCUCCCAAUGGUUUGGCUGUUCGCCAAUUAAAGCGGUACGCGAGCUGGGUUCAGAACGUCGCGAGACAGCGGUCUCCUAUCUACCACGGGCGCGGAAAUUUGAGAAGGCUCAUCCCUAGUACGAGAGGACCGGGAUGAACAAACCUCUGGUUUAUCGGUUGUGAUACCAAUUGCAGUGCCGAGUAGCCAUGUUUGGUACGGAUAACCGCUGAAAGCAUAUAAGCGGGAAGCCGUCUUCAAGAUUAAAUUUCAUAGAUCCCCACUAGACGAGUGGGUUGAUAGGUUCCAGGUGUAAGGCCCGCAAGGGUUUAAGCCGAGGAAUACUAAUUGAUCGU